RNAcentral lists this transfer RNA (21 nucleotides) under Phytophthora kernoviae. RNAcentral's name for it is "partial tRNA-Gly". Lineage: Eukaryota; Oomycota; Peronosporomycetes; Peronosporales; Peronosporaceae. The record is from RNAcentral.
GUUCGAGUCCCCUUUUUUGCU